RNAcentral lists this ribosomal RNA (335 nucleotides) under Aurantiochytrium limacinum. RNAcentral describes it as "partial Bacterial small subunit ribosomal RNA". It matches the Rfam family "Bacterial small subunit ribosomal RNA", at positions 1043 to 1378 of the family's 1533-position model. Lineage: Eukaryota; Bigyra; Thraustochytrida; Thraustochytriidae. The record is from RNAcentral.
GCAUGGCUGUCGUCAGCUCGUGUUGUGAAAUGUUGGGUUAAGUCCCGCAACGAGCGCAACCCCUAUUGUUAGUUGCCAUCAUUCAGUUGGGCACUCUAGCGAGACUGCCGGUAAUAAACCGGAGGAAGGUGGGGAUGACGUCAAAUCAUCAUGCCCCUUAUGAUUUGGGCUACACACGUGCUACAAUGGACAAUACAAAGGGCAGCGAAACCGCGAGGUCAAGCAAAUCCCAUAAAGUUGUUCUCAGUUCGGAUUGUAGUCUGCAACUCGACUACAUGAAGUUGGAAUCGCUAGUAAUCGCUGGUCAGCUAUACAGCGGUGAAUUCGUUCCCGGG